CCAGCCCCCCUCAGAAGAGAGCAGCGCCUCCCCACUCCCAUUUUCGGAUUUCAUUCUUCUUCAUGUUCUCAACUGAAGAACCCCUGUUUCGACCAGGGAAUCAGACCCCGCCCCUUCCGUUCAGAACAGACAGAAACGAAUUCCUCCUUUUGAGAAAAAAACCUAGCCGUCAUCCCUUCUCCUUCUCUUUUCCUUCCUUACUCACACGCAGAUACACUUAAGAACACACAAAAACGGCUGAAAUAAAAAAAAUCAUCCGCUGAAAUCUACUAAAAAAAGGGGAGAAAAUUAAAAUAGCAAAGACCAAGAGUAAUUUCCAUUGAAGAAAGGAAAGGAAAUCUGUGUUUAAAUCUCACUUGGAAAUGAAGUGUUAAUCGUCAAUUUUUGGGCGUUCUAAGAGCUGUUUCGAGCUGAAAUUAGUUGUCACUGCACUUCAACUGUUGCUGAAAUCCAUCCUUCAUUUUCCUGGUCUUUAUUUGGUCCAAAUCUCUUUUCCUUGUCCCUUUUAAGAAAUUUAGGUUCAAAAAUGGGGUCAAGCUGAAGUGGGUUUUCGAUUUGGAGUGUCCGUUCGAGAUCGGUUCUCGGUUCCUGAUUCAUAUUGUUGCUGUAUUUUCUUCGGGACUUCAUCUCGUCGAAUCUGUGGCAAAAACAUUUCUUUACAUAUUAAAGGAGAAGCACUUAACAGAGGAAGCAUCCCGAGUUUAAGCAGGUCCGGGGAAGGACUGCAUCCCAAGGGUGUGUGAUGUAGCGAGUCUACCCUGAUGCAAGUAUCAAUGGCUCACGGCUCGAACCUGUGACCUUUAGGUCACACGGAGAUACUUUACUGUUGCUCCAAGGCUCCCCUUCAUAAUUUAAAGUGAAUCAAAGUCAAUUUUGAAGUAUAGAAACCUCAAAAAAUGACAUAUUGUCUAUUGGAAACAGAUUGUCAAUUUUGAAUAUUUGUAGAAUCUUCAUUUGCAUAUAUCAACUCUUAAGCAUUUCCAUUU
This is a long non-coding RNA of Nicotiana tabacum (common tobacco), 986 nucleotides long. RefSeq lists it as uncharacterized. The record is from RefSeq and is a predicted model, not a curated record. NCBI's taxonomy places the organism in Eukaryota, Viridiplantae, Streptophyta, Magnoliopsida, Solanales, Solanaceae.